UUUCCGUAGGUGAACCUGCGGAAGGAUCAUUCAUAAUAAAGUGUUUUAUGGCACUUUUUAAAAAUCCAUAUCCACCUUGUGUGCAAUGUUAGAUCUCGUCAAUCUUGGCGAGAUUUUUAUACAUCAACUCAUUCUUUAACUAAUUUGUCUGAAAAAUAUUAUGAAUACUUAAUUCAAAAUACAACUUUCAACAACGGAUCUCUUGGCUCUCGCAUCGCUGAAGAACGCAGC
This 231-nucleotide unclassified non-coding RNA is filed under the name plant metagenome. RNAcentral describes it as "partial contains small subunit ribosomal RNA, internal transcribed spacer 1, and 5.8S ribosomal RNA". The stretch from base 183 to 231 matches the Rfam family "5.8S ribosomal RNA", at positions 1 to 49 of the family's 154-position model. The record is from RNAcentral.